AUGGGGAGUAGUUCCGUUAGGACUGUCCGUGUGUUGUUCUGGAAUGUCCAGGGUUUGGGUUCUAAGGACAAAUGCGACGUUGUCAAAAACCUUGUGAUCUCAGCCAACCCUAGUCUUGUUUGCCUUUAGGAAAGUAAGCUUUCUGUCUUAGACUCCCGUAAGGCUGCUACCUUCCUUCUAGGGCGCAUCACGGAGUUUCUCACCAAGGAUGCGGAUGGGAGCCGUGGAGGUGUGGUGACGGCCUGGGAUCCUGCGCGUUACUCCCUGGUUUCCUCUUCUGAAUCGCGUUUCUCUCUUACUGUCACGCUGGCUUGCACUUCCUCGGCCGCGCGUAUGAUGAUUGCCAAUGUGUACGGGCCCUCUGAUCACUCCCUCGUGGAUGUUUUCGUGGGAGACAUGGUUGCCUUGCCUGCUAUUGUCUCGGAUGCCUGGCUCGUUCUUGGUGAUUUCAAUCUUAUCCGUGAUCCGUCAGAGAAAAAUAAUGAUCGCUUUGACGUCAGGCGUGCCGCUAAGUUUAACUCUUCGAUCAACUCUGCUGCCCUCCACGAACUGCAUCUCUCGGAUCGUCUAUACACUUGGUCUAAUCGGCAGAACCCCCCGACCUUGGCUCGCUUGGACAGGGCGUUUUUCGACAAUAGGUGGGACGCGGCCUUCCCUGACUCGACUCUCUCCUCCUUUCCCCGCACCACGUCUGAUCAUGUCCCUCUUUUGGUGGCUGCUUCCACCAAAGUCCCCACCCCCUCUCGCUUCUUCUUCGAAAAUGCUUGGUUAACCGACCCCCUUCUCCUCCCUUCCACUCUCCCUUCUUGGGUUAACUCGGUCCGAGGCACGGGCGCGGCUGGGAUUCUUUCAGCCAAAAAGAAAGCAUUUAGGUCUGCUUCCAAGGCUUGGAAAAAGCGUCACCGGUUCAUCCCUACUUUUGAUAACGACUGCCGGUUCUUGAUCGGUUUCUUUGAAUUUUUGGAGGAAAACCGUUCUUUGUCUGCAGAAGAAUCAACACUGAGAGGUGACGCGUGCCAGGCGCUUGCGAGCUCGAUUCUCCGCCAAUGUGCUCACUGGCGACAACGCAGGAAGAUGCGGGUGGUCUGUGAGGGGGACGAGAACACUCAGUUCUUCCACGCGUCCGCCUCUCACCGCCGUCGUUGCAAUACAGUCGCCUCCCUGGAAGUCGAAAGGGUACGCGUGGUGGAUCAUGCAGGAAAGGCCGCCGCGCUACCGGGCUUCUUCACCGGCCUCUUAGCUUAGACGCGACGGCCCGUCUGGCGUUUCUCCCUCUCUGGGUUGUACGCCCACUCGGCGCGGGUGGACGGCCCGCCUCUCAUCGCUCCAUUCAGCCCCGCAGAGGUCAAGGCCGUGGUCGAGGCGUUGGACCGCACCAGUGCGCCUGGGCCCGACGGGCUAGGGCCUGCCUUCUACCAGGCGGCUUGGCGCGAAGUGGCGGAUGAUCUUCAGAGGCUGUUCGAUGACCUCUGGUCCGGUUCUGCCUCCCUGGAUGGGAUUAAUUGAGCUUAUGUGGCUCUCCUCCCCAAGACAACCGAUGUGCCGACGCCGGCUGAUUUCCAGCCUGUCUCCCUGCAAAACGGAGAUGUCAAGAUCUUGUGCCGAGGGCUGACGACCAGGCUUCAAAAGCAGAUUGUGGAUCUGAUUGAUGAAGACCAGUCUGGAUUCGUGAAAGGGAGGAGCAUCUCUGAAAAUUUUGUCUAUGCCACUGAAUUAGUCCAAUGCUGCCACAAAAGGAAAACGCCAGCAGUUGUGUUGAAGCUAGACUUCUCCAAGGCUUUUGACUCGGUUAACUGGGAGAGCCUCCGUUCUAUCAUGGAGGUUCGUGGCUUCCCACCUGCUUGGUGCGGCUGGAUUGACGGGAUCCUCCGUUCAUCCCGCUCGGCGGUCUUGCUGAAUGGGGUGCCCGGAAAAUUUUGA
This 1920-nucleotide ribosomal RNA is filed under the name Triticum aestivum (bread wheat). RNAcentral's name for it is "partial small subunit ribosomal RNA". The record is from RNAcentral. Lineage: Eukaryota; Viridiplantae; Streptophyta; Magnoliopsida; Poales; Poaceae.